UAAAAACUUAAAAUUUAAAAGACUUGACGGUACUUCACACCAACCUAGAGGAGCCUGUCUAAUAACCGAUAAUCCACGAUUAACCCCACCCCUUAUGGCCCAACAGUCUAUAUACCGCCGUCGCCAGCUUACCUUGUGAAAGAAAAAAAGUAAGCUCAACAACAUCACGCUAACACGACAGGUCGAGGUGUAACUAAUGAAGGGGUAAAGAUGGGCUACAUUUCUUCAAAGAAGACAAACGGAUAAACUAUGAAACUAGAAACUGAAGGCGGAUUUAGCAGUAAGAUAAGAACACAAUACUUAACCGAAAUUAACGCAAUGAAGUGCGC
This 329-nucleotide ribosomal RNA is filed under the name Dromicodryas bernieri. RNAcentral's name for it is "partial 12S ribosomal RNA". Lineage: Eukaryota; Metazoa; Chordata; Lepidosauria; Squamata. The record is from RNAcentral.